CAGAGUUGCAAAACUCCCAACCCUUUGUGAAUCCACUAGACAGUUGCCUCGGCGGGGGGCCCUUCAGGGGGCUGCCCGCCGGAGGACCACUAAACUCUUGUAUUUUUGGCCUCUCUGAGUAAUUCUAAAAUGAAUCA
This 137-nucleotide unclassified non-coding RNA is filed under the name uncultured Cercophora. RNAcentral describes it as "sequence contains ITS1". The record is from RNAcentral. Lineage: Eukaryota; Fungi; Ascomycota; Sordariomycetes; Sordariales; Lasiosphaeriaceae.